CUCCGAAAAUUGAAGGAGGUUACUGUAGAUGUAAAUAUGCCAUGAAAAGUGAAGUAUCAGUUGAAAAGCUUAAGCGUACAAACGGGAAAGCUGGACCUGUGAUUGAGGUGUCAUCUGGCAAACGAGGUUGAAAUUGAACAAAUGAUGAUGUAUUGAAGAGAUGAAUUAUUACUAAACACUGCCAUUCUAAUUAAGUUUCAUGAAAAGGUGGGUGAAUGGACGUGAUAACGUCAGAACGAAACGUAAACACAAAAAAGUUCACAAAGCGAUAGGUCGCUAAGAUCGAUACUAUCGUCAACUUUAUGAGCUUUUUUGCAAGGUUGUCAUAGACUAAAGAAAUGUAAAAAAGCGCAAUUAAAAUUAAGCAAACCUAUACUUUGAUUGUUAACAUAUGUGGCAACGUCGAUUUUAUGCCAAAGUACCGCGGUAAAAAUAUUCAAGGUCAAGCUUAAUUCCAAGCAGAAAUAUUCGUGAAAAGCCUUUAAAAAAAUCUAAAUCUUAUUUUAAAAGACUUAAAAAUACAUUGAUUUAUUCCACGAAAUUAAAGGAAAAUUUAUUUGGAUGCUUUUAUAAUUGAUUGUACGUAUGAUGGAAAAUAAAGCGUGACAGAAUAGCUUUGGACUCAAGCAGUGUUUAUUUAUUCCGCUCCAUGCCUCAUCUCGUUAACCUAAAAUUUUCGGAAGUUGAAAUUUUGGGAACUUUUCAGCGUGCCGAGAAUAGCUUCGCCUACGGGAAGCGUGAUUUGCAUUCAUCCUGACUCAUACGCUUAAUAUUUUGUGGUGUUUAAUGCUGAUUUGAAAUAAUGAGUGAUAACGAGAGCAACCGAAGUUAUGGACGUGAAGAUGAAGAGGAGAAAAGAAUAGUAAGGGAAGACUCACCCCCUCCGCAUAAAAGCCGCACUCCUAGCUCUGCCUACUCUAAGUCAAAAUCCCCUUCUCCUCAUAUCAAUAGUUCCAGAAGAUCUUACGGGCGUAGCAUGUCUCGCUCUCGUUCACGCUCCAUCUCUCGCUCUCGGUCACGUUCCUAUGGACGAGACUCCAGGUCACAUUCAAGAAGCCCAAGGCACUCACGACGCAGGAGAAGGAGUCCAGAUCGCGGUUACAAAAGACGUUACAUGGGAAGCAGAGAUCGUCCAAAACCUAACCGGUGCCUUGGUGUGUUUGGUUUGAGUAUCCAUACUACUGAAGAUCAAUUUAUGAUAUUUUCUCUAAGUAUGGCUCCCUUGAGCGUGUCCAGGUCAUCGUGGAUGCUCAGACUCGGCGUUCACGUGGAUUCUGUUUUGUGUAUUUUAAAAACUAUGAGGAUGCAAAAGCCGCAAAAGAGGAAUGCUCUGAUAUGGAUGUUGACGGACGUCGUAUUCGUGUAG
RNAcentral lists this long non-coding RNA (1366 nucleotides) under Bemisia tabaci. RNAcentral describes it as "lncRNA ENSSSA2NGG000660". The record is from RNAcentral. Lineage: Eukaryota; Metazoa; Arthropoda; Insecta; Hemiptera; Aleyrodidae.